CCCCUAAGCUGACGGGCCUCGAUCCCGCAAAAUUUUAGUUAACAACUAAAUAUUCAAUCCAGCGAACUUCAACCUA
Molecule: transfer RNA, 76 nt
Filed under: Goggia rupicola
Lineage: Eukaryota; Metazoa; Chordata; Lepidosauria; Squamata; Gekkonidae
Description: tRNA-Asn
Source: RNAcentral